RNAcentral lists this long non-coding RNA (264 nucleotides) under Elaeis guineensis (African oil palm). RNAcentral's name for it is "long non-coding RNA (EGUI_LNC074577)". The record is from RNAcentral. Lineage: Eukaryota; Viridiplantae; Streptophyta; Magnoliopsida; Arecales; Arecaceae.
UCCAGCCAUAGCUCCCAUUAUACUGUUGCUAAUUUCAUUCAAUCUUGCAUUCAGCUUGUAAUUGGCCAAAGUGGUAGCAUUCAUUGGGGCCAGUAGCCUAACUGGCAUUCCCAUAUUCAUCAGGUAAGGCUUCAUUCUGGAUGAUUCUCCUUCAUAGUAUUUAGCCUUUUCUUUAUCAUAGGAUAUCAUUCUUUUUAAAUCAGGCUGCUCCAAAAUCUUCACAUUCCCAUAUUAUAAACCUUGUGUAGGAGGCCCUUGCCCUGC